RNAcentral lists this ribosomal RNA (208 nucleotides) under uncultured bacterium. RNAcentral's name for it is "partial 16S ribosomal RNA". It matches the Rfam family "Bacterial small subunit ribosomal RNA", at positions 568 to 774 of the family's 1533-position model. The record is from RNAcentral.
CACGCAGGCGGCCGAGUAAGUCGAAUGUGAAAGCCCCCCGGCUCAACUGGGGAUGGUCAUUCGAUACUGUUCGGCUUGAAGAUAGGAGAGGGAAGUGGAAUUCCCGGUGUAGUGGUGAAAUGCGUAGAUAUCGGGAGGAACACCAGUGGCGAAGGCGGCUUUCUGGCCUAUUCUUGACGCUGAGGUGCGAAAGCUAGGGGAGCGAACG